CCUACGGGAGGCAGCAGUGGGGAAUAUUGCGCAAUGGGCGGAAGCCUGACGCAGCGACGCCGCGUGGGGGAUGAAGGCCUUCGGGUUGUAAACCUCUUUCGGCAGGGACGAAGGUGACGUGUACCUGCGGAAGAAGCGCCGGCUAACUACGUGCCAGCAGCCGCGGUAAU
RNAcentral lists this ribosomal RNA (170 nucleotides) under uncultured Thermomonospora sp. RNAcentral's name for it is "partial 16S ribosomal RNA". It matches the Rfam family "Bacterial small subunit ribosomal RNA", at positions 338 to 524 of the family's 1533-position model. Lineage: Bacteria; Bacillati; Actinomycetota; Actinomycetes; Streptosporangiales; Thermomonosporaceae. RNAcentral also lists the same sequence under 1 other name. The record is from RNAcentral.